GCGGUUCCUUAAGUCUGAUGUGAAAGCCCCCGGCUCAACCGGGGAGGGUCAUUGGAAACUGGGGAACUUGAGUGCAGAAGAGGAGAGCGGAAUUCCACGUGUAGCGGUGAAAUGCAUAGAGAUGUGGAGGAACACCAGUGGCGAAGGCGGCUCUCUGGUCUGUAACUGACGCUGAGGCGCGAAAGCGUGGGGAGCGAACAGGAUUAGAUACCCUGGUAGUCCACGCCGUAAACGAUGAGUGCUAAGUGUUAGAGGGUUUCCGCCCUUUAGUGCUGCAGCAAACGCAUUAAGCACUCCGCCUGGGGAGUACGGCCGCAAGGCUGAAACUCAAAGGAAUUGACGGGGGCCCGCACAAGCGGUGGAGCAUGUGGUUUAAUUCGAAGCAACGCGAAGAACCUUACCAGGUCUUGACAUCCUCUGACAACCCUAGAGAUAGGGCUUUCCCCUUCGGGGGACAGAGUGACAGGUGGUGCAUGGUUGUCGUCAGCUCGUGUCGUGAGAUGUUGGGUUAAGUCCCGCAACGAGCGCAACCCUUGAUCUUAGUUGCCAGCAUUAAGUUGGGCACUCUAAGGUGACUGCCGGUGACAAACCGGAGGAAGGUGGGGAUGACGUCAAAUCAUCAUGCCCCUUAUGACCUGGGCUACACACGUGCUACAAUGGAUGGAACAAAGGGCAGCGAAGCCGCGAGGUGAAGCCAAUCCCAUAAAACCAUUCUCAGUUCGGAUUGCAGGCUGCAACUCGCCUGCAUGAAGCCGGAAUCGCUA
RNAcentral lists this ribosomal RNA (764 nucleotides) under Bacillus sp. STR15. RNAcentral's name for it is "bacterial SSU rRNA". It matches the Rfam family "Bacterial small subunit ribosomal RNA", at positions 575 to 1337 of the family's 1533-position model. Lineage: Bacteria; Bacillati; Bacillota; Bacilli; Caryophanales; Bacillaceae. The record is from RNAcentral.